RNAcentral lists this microRNA precursor (60 nucleotides) under Magallana gigas (Pacific oyster). RNAcentral describes it as "Mgi-Mir-92-o32_pre stem-loop". Lineage: Eukaryota; Metazoa; Mollusca; Bivalvia; Ostreida; Ostreidae. The record is from RNAcentral.
AGACUGGGGAGGGUGAAAUGCAGUGCAUGCUCCUUCUGUAUUGCACCCGUCCCGGCCUGU